GGAGGGAGCUAGCGUUGUUCGGAAUUACUGGGCGUAAAGCGUACGUAGGCGGUUAUUCAAGUCAGAGGUGAAAGCCUGGAGCUCAACUCCAGAACUGCCUUUGAAACUAGAUAGCUAGAAUCUUGGAGAGGUGAGUGGAAUUCCGAGUGUAGAGGUGAAAUUCGUAGAUAUUCGGAAGAACACCAGUGGCGAAGGCGACUCACUGGACAAGUAUUGACGCUGAGGUACGAAAGCGUGGGGAGCAAACAGGAUUAGAUACCCUGGUAGUCCACGCCGUAAACGAUGAUGACUAGCUGUUCGGGCUCUACGAGCUUGAGUGGCGCAGCUAACGCAUUAAGUUAUCCGCCUGGGGAGUACGGUCGCAAGAUUA
Molecule: ribosomal RNA, 370 nt
Filed under: uncultured bacterium
Lineage: Bacteria
Description: bacterial SSU rRNA
Rfam family: Bacterial small subunit ribosomal RNA
Source: RNAcentral